Molecule: non-coding RNA, 94 nt
Organism: Aspergillus egyptiacus
Lineage: Eukaryota; Fungi; Ascomycota; Eurotiomycetes; Eurotiales; Aspergillaceae
Source: the annotation of a GenBank genome assembly
GGGGUGAUAGCUCAGUUGGGAGAGCGCUAGACUGAAGUUCACUUUAGUCAUCAGAUAUAUCUAGAGGUCGCCGGUUCAAUCCCGGCUCAUCCCA